RNAcentral lists this long non-coding RNA (1448 nucleotides) under Linum usitatissimum (flax). Its description in RNAcentral is "long non-coding RNA (LUSI_LNC004900)". The record is from RNAcentral. Lineage: Eukaryota; Viridiplantae; Streptophyta; Magnoliopsida; Malpighiales; Linaceae.
UUUUAUGGUUCAUUGCUUCAUCUGUAGUUCGUUGAACAAAAAUCCAGAAGACAGAAACCCUAAUCUCUCAAACUUGAGAUUUUUUCUUUCGAUACAUACCAUAUUAGUAAGUUAGCUUAUUACUUUCGUAGUUUUUGUCUCCAAUUCUGAAAUUCCUUCGACCUGCUCUUUGAAUGUUUUAUGACUGUUAUAUGUUUCAGAUUACUGCUCAAGAGUUAUCAAAUCAGGGCUAGAAAUUGGUGUGAUUCCACUGUUGAGGUAAGUUUAAGUAUAGGGUUUGUUAAUUGGAACCCUUCAACUUGCUCCUUGAAUGAUGUUGUUGUUGUUUGUCCUUUGAUUCAUAGAAAUGGUGUAACCCUAAUGUAAUAAAACUUAUGAUAAUGCUCAGGAGGCAGUCACAUAAUUGGUGUUGAUCAGGAGGCAGGAUAUGAUAUUGUUGGUGUUGAUCAGGAGGUAGGACAAGAGUUUGUUGCUUCGAUUGCUGAGGUAAGCUUAUAUAUUGUAAACAGUUAGACACUUAGACUGUUAGAAGUUGUUGAGAAGUUUAAUGUUAGAAUCUUAAUACUGAACUGGUAGGUGAAAGGGUGAAAUCUGUAGUUUCUGAUUUGGUACUUGAGUACCAACGAAAAUCAGCCCAAAAUAUAGGUUCUUCAAGCAAUUCGGUUCCAAAUUCUUCUGCCAACGAUAUGGAUUUUGAUCGAUUUGUAAGCCAAAGAGAGAAAUCAAGACCUUUUUUAUUAACCACUAAAUUGGAUCACUAUCUAGUCGAUGAAUUACAUCCUAGGACACCUGAAUUUGAUUUGCUUGGGUGAUGGAAAAAUGGUGGUGUGAAGUAUCCCAUUUUGCAAUGCAUUGUACCAGAAUCAGCCUUUAGUUCCGGUGGGAGGCUUCUUGAUCCCCAUCGGAGUAGGCCGCAACUUUCAACGGUCGAGGCAAUGAUGUGUUGUAAGAGCUAGAUGCAAAAUGAUAUGCAUGUAGGUAUUAUUAUUAAUGAUGUAAUUUUUUUGUUUCAAGUCUUUUUAGUUUAUGUUCUGGUUUCUGAAGUUUCUGUUGUUCUAGCUGAAGAGGAAAUGAAACGACUCGAAGGUGUGUUCUCAACCAUGGCAAUGGAGGAUUCGACAGUUGAAGAUGCAUCUGGUAAGUUAGUCUUUACAUUGCUAGUUUCUUUACUAUCUCUACUGCUGUUUAUACACUUCUACACUAAUUCUAACUGUAUAACAGAUGGAGAAGGUACAACUCAGCAACUGCAAGGGGAUGGAGAUGAUGUUGCAGCUGUUACAAACCUUGACGACUAGUUCAAGGUUUGUGUUCUAACUGGCAACCUCCACUAUAAAUGUUUAUGUAUCGUAUAUGGAUGUUGCUGAUUGUUGCUGAUACAUAAUACAUCACUGAUUAUUUUGGCAAAUAUAGACUUUUGAUGAGUGAUGAAUGCUACUAAAUUACUGAUG